UUAAGUUAGUAAGGGCGCACGGUGGAUGCCUUGGCACUAGGAGCCGAAGAAGGACGUGACAAACGACGAAAUGCCUUGGGGAGCUGUAAGUAAGCGUAGAUCCAGGGAUGUCCGAAUGGGGGAACCCAAUAGGUAGAUACCUAUUACCCGUAUCUGUUAAGGAUAUGAGGAGGAAGACGCAGUGAACUGAAACAUCUAAGUAGCUGCAGGAAGAGAAAGCAAAAGCGAUUGCCUGAGUAGCGGCGAGCGAAAGGGCAAGAGGGCAAACCGAGAAGUUUACUUCUCGGGGUUGUAGGACUGCGAUGUGGAUUUAAAGAUUAUAGAAGAAGACCUUGGGAAAGGUUGCCAGAGAGAGUAAGAGCCUCGUAUUUUAAAUAAUCUUUAUACCUAGCAGGAUCCUGAGUACGGCGGGACACGAGGAAUCCCGUCGGAAUCUGGGAGGACCAUCUCCCAACCCUAAAUACUCCCUAGUGACCGAUAGUGAACCAGUACCGUGAGGGAAAGGUGAAAAGCACCCCGGGAGGGGAGUGAAAGAGAACCUGAAACCGUGUGCCUACAACAAGUUCGAGCCCGUUAAUGGGUGAGAGCGUGCCUUUUGUAGAAUGAACCGGCGAGUUACGUUAUGAUGCGAGGUUAAGUUGAAGAGACGGAGCCGUAGGGAAACCGAGUCUGAAGAGGGCGGUAUAGUAUCAUGAUGUAGACCCGAAACCAUGUGACCUACCCAUGAGCAGGUUGAAGGUGAGGUAAAACUCACUGGAGGACCGCACCAGGGCACGUUGAAAAGUGCUUGGAUGACUUGUGGGUAGCGGAGAAAUUCCAAACGAACUUGGAGAUAGCUGGUUCUCUCCGAAAUAGCUUUAGGGCUAGCGUCGACAGAAAGAUUCUUGGAGGUAGAGCACUGUUUGGGUGAGGGGUCCAUCCCGGAUUACCAAUCUCAGAUAAACUCCGAAUGCCAAUGAAUUAUGGUCGGCAGUCAGACUGCGAGUGCUAAGAUCCGUAGUCGAAAGGGAAACAGCCCAGACCACCAGCUAAGGUCCCAAAAUAAUUGUUAAGUGGAAAAGGAUGUGGGGUUGCACAGACAACUAGGAUGUUAGCUUAGAAGCAGCUAUUCAUUCAAAGAGUGCGUAAUAGCUCACUAGUCGAGUGACCCUGCGCCGAAAAUGUACCGGGGCUAAAACAAUUUACCGAAGCUGUGGAUCCUUUAGGGGAUGGUAGGAGAGCGUUCUAUGUGUGGUGAAGGUGUACCGUGAGGAGCGCUGGAACGCAUAGAAGUGAGAAUGCCGGUAUGAGUAGCGCAAGACAGGUGAGAAUCCUGUCCACCGUAAGACUAAGGUUUCCAGGGGAAGGCUCGUCCGCCCUGGGUUAGUCGGGACCUAAGGAGAGACCGAAAGGUGUAUCCGAUGGCCAACAGGUAGAGAUUCCUGUACUAGAGUAUAGAGUGAAGGAGGGACGCAGUAGGCUAACUCAAGCGUGCGAAUGGAAGAGCACGUCUAAGCAGUGAGGUGUGAUAGGAGUCAAAUGCUUCUAUCUGUAACAUUGAGCUGUGAUGGGGAGCGAAGUUUAGUAGCGAAGUGAGUGACGUCACACUGCCAAGAAAAGCUUCUAGCGUUAAUUUAUACUCUACCCGUACCGCAAACCGACACAGGUAGUCGAGGCGAGUAGCCUCAGGUGAUCGAGAGAACUCUCGUUAAGGAACUCGGCAAAAUGACCCCGUAACUUCGGGAGAAGGGGUGCUGGCUUAAAGUCAGCCGCAGUGAAUAGGCCCAAGCAACUGUUUAUCAAAAACACAGCUCUCUGCUAAAUCGUAAGAUGAUGUAUAGGGGGUGACGCCUGCCCGGUGCUGGAAGGUUAAGAGGAGUGCUUAGACGUAAGUCGAAGGUAUGAAUUGAAGCCCCAGUAAACGGCGGCCGUAACUAUAACGGUCCUAAGGUAGCGAAAUUCCUUGUCGGGUAAGUUCCGACCCGCACGA
This 1969-nucleotide ribosomal RNA is filed under the name Streptococcus anginosus DORA_7. RNAcentral's name for it is "bacterial LSU rRNA". It matches the Rfam family "Bacterial large subunit ribosomal RNA", at positions 3 to 1995 of the family's 2925-position model. The record is from RNAcentral. Lineage: Bacteria; Bacillati; Bacillota; Bacilli; Lactobacillales; Streptococcaceae.